Long non-coding RNA from Eriocheir sinensis (Chinese mitten crab), 1452 nucleotides. RefSeq lists it as uncharacterized. Lineage: Eukaryota; Metazoa; Arthropoda; Malacostraca; Decapoda; Varunidae. The record is from RefSeq and is a predicted model, not a curated record. The transcript has 3 exons.
CCCACAACUCCUAGGAAAGCCUUGUCAAAUAUGUGUUUCUUUAGGUUCAUGGUACAGAGGAAGGGUCACACUACCACCAGGGUCAUAAAACUACUCCUGGAAAUGCCCACAACUCCUAGGAAAGCCUUGUCAAAUAUGUGUUUCUUUAGGUUCAUGGUACAGAAGAAGGGUCACACUACCACCAGGGUCAUAAAACUACCCCUGGAAAUGCCCACAACUCCUAGGAAAGCCUUGUCAAAUAUGUGUUUCUUUAGGUUCAUGGUACAGAGGAAGGGUCACACUACCACCAGGGUCAUAAAACUACUCCUGGAAAUGCCCACAACUCCUAGGAAAGCCUUGUCAAAUAUGUGUUUCUUUAGGUUCAUGGUACAGAAGAAGGGUCACACUACCACCAGGGUCAUAAAACUACUCCUGGAAAUGCCCACAACUCCUAGGAAAGCCUUGUCAAAUGUGUGUUUUUGGAUGACGAAAUGACGUCUAAUACAACCCUUGGUGCCUUGCCGACUGUCUGGGAUAUUUGGCGAACUAGCUGCCAACAUGUCUUGCUAACCCUCACGACCCCAGACUCCCGUUACGACAUCGGCGCAGCAUUCGGCAAAUCUCAAGACCUCUUUCAAAACAUGCCCGACCCUUUCACAUCAACACCCAAGACCUCGUGUACCCUAGAGUCAUGGCCCAGAGUCGGCACUGUGUGAACGGGGCUUAAAGGCUCAAACUCUGUCACCAGUGAAAUGACACGAAAGUUAAAUCGCAGUGAAAUAUUCCUUAACCCGGUAGCAGCGAUGGGCCAAAUUUGUGGCUUCACCGUGUAGCAGCGACGGGCCAAAUUUGUGGCUUUACCGUGUAGCAGCGACGGGCCAAAUUUGUGGCUUCACCAUGUAGCAGCGACGGGCCAAAUUUGUGGCUUUACCGUGUAGCAGCGAUGGGCCAAAUUUGUGGCUUCACCGUGUAGCAGCGACGGGCCAAAUUUGUGGCUUUACCGUGUAGCAGCGACGGGCCAAAUUUGUGCCAUGAUAUAAACCCCCAAAAAUAGAUGAUACAUAAUCUGAUCACAAAUGCUUUGAUAUAUAUUAUGAAAUGGUUUGCGUGAGGGGUGAUUUUUCUCAUUUUUCUCACUCGGAGGGACCAUUAAGAAACAUGGUCCCAAAUGCUUUGAUAUAUAUUAUGAAAUGGUUUGCGUGAGGGGUGAUUUUUUCUCAUUUUUCUCGCUCGGAGGGACCAUUAAGAAACAUGGUCCCAAAUGCUUUGAUAUAUAUUAUGAAAUGGUUUGCGUGAGGGGUGAUUUUUCUCAUUUUUCUCACUCGGAGGGACCAUUAAGAAACAUGAUCCCAAAUGCUUUGAUAUAUAUUAUGAAAUGGUUUGCGUGAGGGGUGAUUUUUCUCAUUUUUCUCACUCGGAGGGACCAUUAAGAAACAUGAUCCCAAAUGCUUUGAUAUAUAUUAUGAAAUGGUU